UCGGGUGAAAGCCCUGAUGGACCGAACCGCAGGUGAUACCCGUCCCACCCUGACGGUGCUGCCCCCCUCCAGUGAGGAGCUGCAGCAGGGGAAGGCCACGCUCAUGUGUCUGGCCAACAAGGGCUUCCCCUCAGACUGGAGGCUGUCCUGGAAGAUGGAUGGCAGCAGCAGCAGUGACGGGGAGGAGAGCAGGAGCCCUGUAGUGCUGCAGAAUGACGACUUCUACAGCUGGAGCAGCACCCUGAGGCUCACUGCAGACCAGUGGGGGAAGGUGGGCUCUGUGAGCUGUGAGGCCACCCAGGGCUCCCAGACUCUGGUCUCAAGGACACUCAGCAGAGACCAGUGUUCCCAGUCCUGA
Non-coding RNA from Archocentrus centrarchus (flier cichlid), 358 nucleotides. The record is from the annotation of a RefSeq genome assembly. Lineage: Eukaryota; Metazoa; Chordata; Actinopteri; Cichliformes; Cichlidae.